This 1230-nucleotide ribosomal RNA is filed under the name Serratia nematodiphila. RNAcentral's name for it is "bacterial SSU rRNA". It matches the Rfam family "Bacterial small subunit ribosomal RNA", at positions 30 to 1233 of the family's 1533-position model. Lineage: Bacteria; Pseudomonadati; Pseudomonadota; Gammaproteobacteria; Enterobacterales; Yersiniaceae. The record is from RNAcentral.
GGGGCGAAGGCGGCAGCUUACACAUGCAAGUCGAGCGGUAGCACAGGGGAGCUUGCUCCCCGGGUGACGAGCGGCGGACGGGUGAGUAAUGUCUGGGAAACUGCCUGAUGGAGGGGGAUAACUACUGGAAACGGUAGCUAAUACCGCAUAACGUCGCAAGACCAAAGAGGGGGACCUUCGGGCCUCUUGCCAUCAGAUGUGCCCAGAUGGGAUUAGCUAGUAGGUGGGGUAAUGGCUCACCUAGGCGACGAUCCCUAGCUGGUCUGAGAGGAUGACCAGCCACACUGGAACUGAGACACGGUCCAGACUCCUACGGGAGGCAGCAGUGGGGAAUAUUGCACAAUGGGCGCAAGCCUGAUGCAGCCAUGCCGCGUGUGUGAAGAAGGCCUUCGGGUUGUAAAGCACUUUCAGCGAGGAGGAAGGUGGUGAGCUUAAUACGCUCAUCAAUUGACGUUACUCGCAGAAGAAGCACCGGCUAACUCCGUGCCAGCAGCCGCGGUAAUACGGAGGGUGCAAGCGUUAAUCGGAAUUACUGGGCGUAAAGCGCACGCAGGCGGUUUGUUAAGUCAGAUGUGAAAUCCCCGGGCUCAACCUGGGAACUGCAUUUGAAACUGGCAAGCUAGAGUCUCGUAGAGGGGGGUAGAAUUCCAGGUGUAGCGGUGAAAUGCGUAGAGAUCUGGAGGAAUACCGGUGGCGAAGGCGGCCCCCUGGACGAAGACUGACGCUCAGGUGCGAAAGCGUGGGGAGCAAACAGGAUUAGAUACCCUGGUAGUCCACGCUGUAAACGAUGUCGAUUUGGAGGUUGUGCCCUUGAGGCGUGGCUUCCGGAGCUAACGCGUUAAAUCGACCGCCUGGGGAGUACGGCCGCAAGGGUUAAAACUCAAAUGAAUUUGACGGGGGCCCGCACAAGCGGUGGAGCAUGUGGUUUAAUUCGAUGCAACGCGAAGAACCCUUACCUACUCUUGACAUCCAGAGAAACUUAGCAGAGAUGGCUUUGGUUGCCUUUCGGGAACUCUGAGACAAGGGUGCUGCCAUGACUGUCGUCAGCCUCGUGUUUGUGGAAAUGAUGGGUUAAGUCCCGCCAACGAGCGCAACCCCUUUAUCCUUUGUUGUCAGGCGGAUUUCGCCGGCAACCUCCAAAGGGAAACUGGCCAGUGACUAACUGGCAGCAAGGUAGUGAAUAGAGACGCUUCAGAGUUCCAUCCUAGUGGCUCCCUCUGAUGCCGAUUC